CACUUUGCAAUAAUCUGAGCACUGCGCCCAGAAAAAUACGCUUUGCUAUACAGACAAACGGCCAUGUUGGAGAGAUCUAAAAUCGAAAAUACUAUGUAAAUAAUCCAUUACCUUUGAUUCUCUUCAUCAGAUGUCACUUCCAGGAAUCCCAGGUCCAUAACGAAUGUAGUUUUGUUCAAAAAAGCUCAUCAUUUAUGUCCAAAAAGCUCUGUGUUCUUAGCACAUGAUCUAAGCCAGCCGGACUUCUCGUCAUGAACGAGGGGAAAAAAUAUAUUUACGUUCGUUCAAACAUGUCAAACGUUGUAUAGCAUAAAUCAUUAGUGCCUUUUUUAACCAGAACAUGAAUAAUAUUCUAGGUGGACGAAUGCAUUCUCUUUUAUAACGUAUUGGAACGAGGGUACCCAACAUGAACUCGCGCGCCAGAGUCUAAUCGGCCAUCACCGUUCCAAAGCUCUUGUUCGGUCAGAUCUCACAGUAAAAGACUCAAAACACUUUGUAAAGGCUGGUGACAUCUAGAGGAAGCAAUAGGAAGUGCCAAAACAUUAAUCAACCCCUGUGUGUUUCAAUGGCAUAGGCUUAAAGGUAAUUCAACACAUCAGGUAUCCACUUCCUGUCAGAAAAUGUCUCAGGGUUUUGCCUGCCAAAUGAGUUCUGUUAUGCUCACAGACACCAUUUAAAACAGUUUUAGAAACUUUAGGGUGUUUUCUAUCCAUAUAUAAUAAGUAUAUGCAUAUUCUAGUUACUGGGUAGGAUUAGUAACCAGAUUAAAUCGGGUACGUUUUUUUAUCCCGCCGUGAAAAUACUGCCCCCUAGCCCCAACAGGUUAACUAAGUAAUCGGCACGCCCCCAGGGACACAGACAUGACCUGGGGGCAGACAUGACCAUGUGACAGACAUGACCUGGGGACCUGGGGGCACAGACAUGACCAUGUGACAGCCUUUUCUACGUUCAGUAUAUAAACCCCCACCCAGGGUUUCAUUCCCCAAGACCAGGCCUCCACUCCAUUACGAGUUGGCUAAUAGGUUUGACCAUGCAUCCCUCUACUGAACUUUAACCAUACCACGUGGUUAAACUAUUAGACUAUCGAUACAGAAUAAGAACAAGUCUUUGAUAUUAAUUACUAAUCUGCAGCUAGGAAUUCGGUAUCAUUGAACGCGAAGACCAACGAAACAUCCAUUCUAUAACGACAUGACCGAAUGUCGCUUUGAAAGAUCCAUUCUAACCUAGAGAGAGAACGCGAGGACAAAACUCUCCAACAGAACUUUUCAACAAAGAUCCCGACGACACACUGAGCGUAAAUAUAUAUAUAUAUAUAUAUAUAUAUAUAUAUAUAUAUAUAUAUAGAUUGCAAUUGUUCCCGAAUGAGUGAGCGUUCAUGUGCAAAGGUGUAGCAUUUCAAUUGUAUAAUAUUCAAUUCUGAACCACCCCUUUUGUUUAACAAGCCGCCAUGCCGGUUUAGCCCACUAGGGCACAUUCCUCUACCAUUUCUUUGUAACGAUAUCUACUGUUUUGUAUGCAUUUCUGUUGAAUUAUUUAGUUUAGUAAAUAAAUGAUUUUAAGACAGUUGAUGUAUGGAUGACUCAGAGUGAAGACUGGGUUCGUGUAGAUAACCAACAAUUUACGACGUUUGGAAUGAGAUUGACGUGAGGUAAAUAAUAAGUCAUUUAAUCAGAAGACUCAAUGAUCAGAAAUUAUGAUAUCUCAGUUAUAUUAGGAAAAUUAUAACUUUAACCUGAAUAUUUUCCUUGGUAAUAAUAAUCAUAGUAGUUGUCGAGGGUGCAACAAGUCAGUAACACAAGAGUAAGUGUCAGUUGGCUUUUUCAUAGCCGAUCUCAGAGAGUAUCUCUACCGCUCCUGCUGUCUCUAGAGAGUUGAAAACAGCAGGUCUGGGACAGGUAGCACGUCCGGUGAAUAGGUCAGGGUUCCAGCAGGUCUGGGAUAGGUAGCACAUCUGGUGAACAGGUUAGGGUUCCAUAGCUGCAGGCAGAACAGUUGGAACUGGAGCAGCAGCACAGCCAGGUGAACUGGGGACAGCAAGGAGUCAUCAAGCCAGGUAGUCCUGAGGCAUGGUCCUAGGGCU
Molecule: long non-coding RNA, 2080 nt
Filed under: Salmo salar (Atlantic salmon)
Lineage: Eukaryota; Metazoa; Chordata; Actinopteri; Salmoniformes; Salmonidae
Description: lncRNA (ENSSSAG00000110638.1)
Source: RNAcentral